RNAcentral lists this ribosomal RNA (501 nucleotides) under uncultured bacterium. RNAcentral describes it as "partial 16S ribosomal RNA". It matches the Rfam family "Bacterial small subunit ribosomal RNA", at positions 30 to 523 of the family's 1533-position model. The record is from RNAcentral.
AUUGAACGCUGGCGGCAGGCUUAACACAUGCAAGUCGAGCGGGGGAAGGUAGCUUGCUACCGGACCUAGCGGCGGACGGGUGAGUAAUGCUUAGGAAUCUGCCUAUUAGUGGGGGACAACAUCUCGAAAGGGAUGCUAAUACCGCAUACGUCCUACGGGAGAAAGCAGGGGAUCUCCGGACCUUGCGCUAAUAGAUGAGCCUAAGUCGGAUUAGCUAGUUGGUGGGGUAAAGGCCUACCAAGGCGACGAUCUGUAGCGGGUCUGAGAGGAGGAGCGGCCACACUGGGACUGAGAAACGGCCCAGACUCCUACGGGGAGCAGCAGUGGGGAAUAUUGGACAAUGGGGGGAACCCUGAUCCAGCCAUGCCGCGUGUGUGAAGAAGGCCUUAUGGUUGUAAAGCACUUUAAGCGAGGAGGAGGCUACUCUAGUUAAUACCUAGGGAUAGUGGACGUUACUCGCAGAAUAAGCACCGGCUAACUCUGUGCCAGCCGCCGCCGUAA